UGGGAACGCGAAGAACCUUACCUAGACUUGACAUCCCCUGAAUUACCUGUAAUGAGGGAAGUCCCUUCGGGGACAGGGAGACAGGUGGUGCAUGGUUGUCGUCAGCUCGUGUCGUGAGAUGUUGGGUUAAGUCCCGCAACGAGCGCAACCCUUAUCAUUAGUUGCUACCAUUAAGUUGAGCACUCUAAUGAGACUGCCCGGGUUAACCGGGAGGAAGGUGGGGAUGACGUCAAAUCAUCAUGCCCCUUAUGUCUAGGGCCACACACGUGCUACAAUGGUGAGUACAACGAGAUGCGAACCUGCGAGGGGGAGCUAAACUCAAAAACUCAUCUCAGUUCGGAUUGCAGGCUGCAACUCGCCUGCAUGAAGCUGGAGUUGCUAGUAAUCGCGAAUCAGAAUGUCGCGGUGAAUACGUUCCCGGGUCUUGUACACACCG
RNAcentral lists this ribosomal RNA (436 nucleotides) under uncultured bacterium. RNAcentral's name for it is "bacterial SSU rRNA". It matches the Rfam family "Bacterial small subunit ribosomal RNA", at positions 954 to 1392 of the family's 1533-position model. The record is from RNAcentral.